This 443-nucleotide ribosomal RNA is filed under the name uncultured Pseudomonadota bacterium. RNAcentral's name for it is "bacterial SSU rRNA". It matches the Rfam family "Bacterial small subunit ribosomal RNA", at positions 917 to 1359 of the family's 1533-position model. The record is from RNAcentral. Lineage: Bacteria; Pseudomonadati; Pseudomonadota.
GGACCCGCACAAGCGGUGGAUGAUGUGGAUUAAUUCGAUGCAACGCGAAGAACCUUACCCGGUCUUGACAUGCCGAGAAGCCCGAAGAGAUUUGGGCGUGCCGCAAGGAGCUCGGACACAGGUGCUGCAUGGCUGUCGUCAGCUCGUGUCGUGAGAUGUUGGGUUAAGUCCCGCAACGAGCGCAACCCUUGUCAUUAGUUGCCAUCAUUUGGUUGGGCACUCUAAUGAGACUGCCGGUGACAAACCGGAGGAAGGUGGGGAUGACGUCAAGUCCUCAUGGCCCUUAUGACCGGGGCUUCACACGUCAUACAAUGGUCAGUACAGAGGGUAGCCAAGCCGCGAGGCGGAGCCAAUCUCAGAAAAGCUGAUCGUAGUCCGGAUCGUACUCUGCAAACUCGAGUACGUGAAGUCGGAAUCGCUAGUAAUCGCAGGUCAGCAUACUG